UUUCCGUAGGUGAACCUGCGGAAGGAUCAUUGUCGAAACCUGCCUAGCAGAUUGACCAGCGAACAUGUUUAUCGUAAGUGGAGCGGGGUGCCCUAGCGAAGCCUUACGGACGAGCUAUUGCCCCCUCCUCCCGACGUUGGGUGGUGCUCCUCUCUGAGGGGUGCUGCUCGAUGCAACAACGAACCCCGGCGCGGUCUGCGCCAAGGAACAUGAACUUGAGCGUGCUCGUCUUGUGCCCGGGUCACCGGCGCAUGGGAGUGGAUGCACCCAAUAUUGAGUAUUAAACGACUCUCGGCAACGGAUAUCUUGGCUCUC
Molecule: unclassified non-coding RNA, 315 nt
Filed under: soil metagenome
Description: partial contains small subunit ribosomal RNA, internal transcribed spacer 1, and 5.8S ribosomal RNA
Source: RNAcentral